CCCCAUAUGCCGAGAGGUGAAAUGAAAUUCGCCUGAGGAUGAGCUCGCGUCUGAUUAGCUAGUUGGUAGGGUAAAGGCCUACCAAGGCGACGAUCAGUAGCUGGUCUGAGAGGAUGAUCAGCCACACUGGGACUGAGACACGGCCCAGACUCCUACGGGAGGCAGCAGUGGGGAAUUUUCCGCAAUGGGCGAAAGCCUGACGGAGCAACGCCGCGUGAGGGAUGAAGGCCUCUGGGCUGUAAACCUCUUUUAUCAAGGAAGAAGAUCUGACGGUACUUGAUGAAUAAGCCACGGCUAAUUCCGUGCCAGCAGCCGCGGUAAUACGGGAGUGGCAAGCGUUAUCCGGAAUUAUUGGGCGUAAAGCGUCCGCAGGCGGUCUUACAAGUCUGUCGUUAAAGCGUGGAGCUUAACUCCAUUUCAGCGAUGGAAACUGUAAGACUAGAGUGUGGUAGGGGCAGAGGGAAUUCCCGGUGUAGCGGUGAAAUGCGUAGAUAUCGGGAAGAACACCAGUGGCGAAGGCGCUCUGCUGGGCCAUAACUGACGCUCAUGGACGAAAGCCAGGGGAGCGAAAGGGAUUAGAUACCCCUGUAGUCCUGGCCGUAAACGAUGAACACUAGGUGUCGGGGGAAUCGACCCCCUCGGUGUCGUAGCCAACGCGUUAAGUGUUCCGCCUGGGGAGUACGCACGCAAGUGUGAAACUCAAAGGAAUUGACGGGGGCCCGCACAAGCGGUGGAGUAUGUGGUUUAAUUCGAUGCAACGCGAAGAACCUUACCAGGGUUUGACAUCCUGCGAAUCCCUUGGAAACGAGGGAGUGCCUUCGGGAACGCAGUGACAGGUGGUGCAUGGCUGUCGUCAGCUCGUGUCGUGAGAUGUUGGGUUAAGUCCCGCAACGAGCGCAACCCACGUCUUUAGUUGCCAGCAUUUAGUUGGGCACUCUAGAGAGACUGCCGGUGAUAAACCGGAGGAAGGUGUGGAUGACGUCAAGUCAUCAUGCCCCUUACAUCCUGGGCUACACACGUACUACAAUGCUACGGACAAAGGGCAGCAAACUCGCGAGAGCUAGCCAAUCCCAUAAACCGUGGCUCAGUUCAGAUCGUAGGCUGCAACUCGCCUACGUGAAGGAGGAAUCGCUAGUAAUCGCAGGUCAGCAUACUGCGGUGAAUACGUUCCCGGGCCUUGUACACACCGCCCGUCACACCAUGGAAGUUGGCCACGCCCGAAGUCGUUACUCCAACCCUUGUGGAGGAGGAUGCCGAAGGUGGGGCUGAUGACUGGGGUGAAGUCGUAACAAGGUAGCCGUACCGGAAGGUGC
This 1313-nucleotide ribosomal RNA is filed under the name uncultured Cyanobium sp. RNAcentral describes it as "bacterial SSU rRNA". It matches the Rfam family "Bacterial small subunit ribosomal RNA", at positions 169 to 1515 of the family's 1533-position model. Lineage: Bacteria; Bacillati; Cyanobacteriota; Cyanophyceae; Synechococcales; Prochlorococcaceae. The record is from RNAcentral.